AAGAAAUGCAACUCACAGGGUCUUCAGAAAAUCAGGACACCUUUCAAGGCAGCCAGUCUAACCUUUGGCAGAACUGUUACAUUAAUCUUCCUUAAAGAGAAUGUUGUGGGUGCCACAACAGGCCUGUUGGAACCUCUCCAGAAACUGUGGCAUAUGUAUUAAACUAAGCUUGAGCAAGAUGAAAAAACUACAUUUGAGGUUAAGUGAAUUGCCCAAGGACACAGAACUUAUAAGUAUCUGAGGUCCUCAAAUUGUUUCCUUUUUGUCUUCCUGCAUCACUGAGUUUUGCCCAUCUUUAACUGUAAGCAUUCAGAAGGUAGGAGGGGAUUAUCCAUUACUUCAGACUACAUGGUGCCACGAAAGAAUGGAGCAUGAAGAACAUAGUGUCCUGUUAAGAUUAUAAUAAAAAUCAUGUUUCCCAAGGUGACA
RNAcentral lists this long non-coding RNA (429 nucleotides) under Monodelphis domestica (gray short-tailed opossum). RNAcentral's name for it is "lncRNA (ENSMODG00000048737.1)". The record is from RNAcentral. Lineage: Eukaryota; Metazoa; Chordata; Mammalia; Didelphimorphia; Didelphidae.